AGGUUACUGCUAUCGGUGUUCGCCUAAGCCAUGCGAGUCAUAUGUUCGUAAGAACAUGGCGUACUGCUCAGUAACACGUGGAUAACCUGCCCUUGGGUCCGGCAUAACCCCGGGAAACUGGGAUAAUUCCGGAUAACGCAUAUAUGCUGGAAUGCUUUCUGCGUAAAAUGGAUUCGUCUGCCCAAGGAUGGGUCUGCGGCCUAUCAGGUAGUAGUGGGUGUAAUGUACCUACUAGCCUACGACGGGUACGGGUUGUGAGAGCAAGAGCCCGGAGAUGGAUUCUGAGACAUGAAUCCAGGCCCUACGGGGCGCAGCAGGCGCGAAAACUUUACAAUGCGGGAAACCGUGAUAAGGGGACACCGAGUGCCAGCAUCCUAUGCUGGCUGUCCGGGUGUGUAAAAUACACCUGUUAGCAAGGGCCGGGCAAGACCGGUGCCAGCCGCCGCGGUAACACCGGCGGCCCGAGUGGUGAUCGUGAUUAUUGGGUCUAAAGGGUCCGUAGCCGGUUUGGUCAGUCCUCCGGGAAAUCUGACAGCUCAACUGUUAGGCUUUCGGAGGAUACUGCCAGACUUGGAACCGGGAGAGGUAAGAGGUACUACAGGGGUAGGAGUGAAAUCUUGUAAUCCCUGUGGGACCACCUGUGGCGAAGGCGUCUUACCAGAACGGGUUCGACGGUGAGGGACGAAAGCUGGGGGCACGAACCGGAUUAGAUACCCGGGUAGUCCCAGCCGUAAACGAUGCUCGCUAGGUGUCAGGCAUGGCGCGACCGUGUCUGGUGCCGCAGGGAAGCCGUGAAGCGAGCCACCUGGGAAGUACGGCCGCAAGGCUGAAACUUAA
This 837-nucleotide ribosomal RNA is filed under the name uncultured archaeon. RNAcentral describes it as "bacterial SSU rRNA". It matches the Rfam family "Archaeal small subunit ribosomal RNA", at positions 21 to 859 of the family's 1478-position model. The record is from RNAcentral.